UACAGAGGGGGCAAGCGUUGUUCGGAAUUACUGGGCGUAAAGGGCGCGUAGGCGGCCUGUUAAGUCAGACGUGAAAUCCCCGGGCUCAACCCGGGAACUGCGUCUGAUACUGGCAGGCUUGAAUCCGGGAGAGGGAUGCGGAAUUCCAGGUGUAGCGGUGAAAUGCGUAGAUAUCGGGAGGAAUACCGGUGGCGAAAGCGACUCUCUGGACGGUGACUGACGCUGAGGCACGAAAGCCAGGGGAGCAAACGGG
This 253-nucleotide ribosomal RNA is filed under the name uncultured bacterium. RNAcentral's name for it is "partial 16S ribosomal RNA". It matches the Rfam family "Bacterial small subunit ribosomal RNA", at positions 524 to 776 of the family's 1533-position model. The record is from RNAcentral.